This 253-nucleotide ribosomal RNA is filed under the name uncultured bacterium. RNAcentral's name for it is "partial 16S ribosomal RNA". It matches the Rfam family "Bacterial small subunit ribosomal RNA", at positions 524 to 776 of the family's 1533-position model. The record is from RNAcentral.
UACGUAGGUGGCAAGCGUUGUCCGGAAUUAUUGGGCGUAAAGCGCGCGCAGGCGGUCUUUUAAGUCUGAUGUGAAAUCUUGCGGCUCAACCGUAAGCGGUCAUUGGAAACUGGAGGACUUGAGUACAGAAGAGGAAAGCGGAAUUCCACGUGUAGCGGUGAAAUGCGUAGAUAUGUGGAGGAACACCAGUGGCGAAGGCGGCUUUCUGGUCUGUAACUGACGCUGAGGCGCGAAAGCGUGGGGAGCGAACAGG